CCUCUGGCCAGAACUGAAACCCAUUUCGUAACCCUAAAAUCGCCACCAUUGAUUCCACCGAGCUAACGCCAACUAUCCGACGACAUAGUAACCACAAUCGAAAUGGUCGUCUGCACCUUCAUCGGCCACUAAGUCGUUCCGUCCUCCGUCCCUAUCGCGAACCAAGAGAUGAAAAUUUCGAAAAUUUUCAGGCGCCACCGGUAUUGCCAUUUCCGGCAUUAACCGACCACGACAUAACUCGUCGAAGCGGUAAGUAAUGUGAAGCUUAAAGGUUGAAAUGUAUGGUUUGUAUUUUUCUGUUCAUUGUAUACGUGCUCUGUAUAUUAUCUCUCUGCACCAAAUUUUCAACAUGUAAUUUUCAUUCAAUAAUUUGAGUAAUUUUCAUUCAAUAAUUUGAGAAGAAAUGGCAGAGAAACUUUGAUUUACACCCCACAAGAUUCCUUCAUUCUUUGAUGCUCGUAUCAGAUUUCACAGGGGCUUUCUUGAUUUCAACUAUUCAUUCUCCUUCUAUGUAAUUUUGUUAUUAUUUUUAAUAUGCAGGGUAAGGGGAGUAGUGUUAUGAGUUUGAAUGAUUAAAAAUUGGAUUUUUCGUUAGUGGGUUAUUUAAUGACCAGAAGAUUGACAAAUGUUUAGAUGCUUAAUAUUGUGAUUUUCUUCCCAAAAAAAAUAAAAAUGAAGCACUCAUGGCAACACCAACUAAUUCUACUGAUUUUAAUUGAACAAGCACUCAUGGCAACACCAGCUAGUCGCUUGAUUCAGAAUCAGAAUCUCAAUAUCCCCUCUAACAUAUUGCUGUCUUGUAUAGGUGCUACUCGUGGGCUUAAGAUUGAUGUCGUCAAGGCAAAUAAGAAAGCAGGGGUUGGUGCAAGAAAAGCUCUUAAUGACAUAUCAAACUUGAGAAAUUCUACCAUGCUACAAAUGAAGAAAGAUCUCACUCAGUAUUUUGAAAACUUUGUCUGUCCAACGAAGAAACGAUGUCCAAAUUGUGGCGAGGGCAUCAAGAAGUGUAUGAAGGUCGAGAGAAAAACAAAAAAAUGGGGCGACUGCUUUAUUGCUGCACCAAUUAUCAAACUUCAUUUUUUUUAAUCGGCCAGUCACGUGUAGUGGCUUUGUUCUGUUAUUUUGAACAAUUAUGAUGUUUAAUUUGUGUCGUGACACAAUGUUGGGUGUCAACAGUGAUGUUGUAAUUUUAAUAUCAAAUAGUAAUUCGUAUGUUGUAAUUAAUUGGUAUGUAUUAUUUUGAUGCAUGUCUCGAGCAGUUUCCUUCCAUAAAUAAGAGCGGCGAAUCGUUAUGAGCAU
Molecule: long non-coding RNA, 1299 nt
Filed under: Olea europaea subsp. europaea
Lineage: Eukaryota; Viridiplantae; Streptophyta; Magnoliopsida; Lamiales; Oleaceae
Source: RNAcentral